Molecule: ribosomal RNA, 305 nt
Filed under: uncultured bacterium
Lineage: Bacteria
Description: bacterial SSU rRNA
Rfam family: Bacterial small subunit ribosomal RNA
Source: RNAcentral
GCACCUACGGAGGCAGCAGUGGGGAAUAUUGGGCAAUGGGCGCAAGCCUGACCCAGCAACGCCGCGUGAAGGAAGAAGGCUUUCGGGUUGUAAACUUCUUUUGUCAGGGACGAAGCAAGUGACGGUACCUGACGAAUAAGCCACGGCUAACUACGUGCCAGCAGCCGCGGUAAUACGUAGGUGGCAAGCGUUGUCCGGAUUUACUGGGUGUAAAGGGUGCGUAGGCGGGGAAGCAAGUCAGAAGUGAAAUCCAUGGGCUUAACCCAUGAACUGCUUUUGAAACUGUUUAUCUUGAGUGAAGUAGG